Long non-coding RNA from Ficedula albicollis (Collared flycatcher), 300 nucleotides. RefSeq lists it as uncharacterized. The record is from RefSeq and is a predicted model, not a curated record. Lineage: Eukaryota; Metazoa; Chordata; Aves; Passeriformes; Muscicapidae. The transcript is spliced from 3 exons.
UUGCAUAAGCACAAGCCCCACUGACGUCAAUGGGAGUUUUUCCGGGGCGAGGGCUGAGCGCCUUGGCUCGCUGCUAUAAACACGUUGGGACUUUCUCUUUUAAUGGAUGGAUGGAGAAACGAGACUUCUAAUGACACAGCCCAGUGCACACACAGUCCUCGAGCAUCCCCAGACCAACGGCAUGGCAGCCACUGGGCAUGCAGGUUUAUACAUGUGCCAAAAAUGCAACAGGAGAAGGCUGUGAAAAAUUAGGAAAUCUUCUUGACAUUGGGAAAUCCGACACUUGUCUGCUCUAACAUC